AUUGUUCCACCCAUAGAUGUGAAUGCAAACAUUGAGUUGUAAGGUCGUAUAUUCUCCAUGAAAUUUUUGCUUCUUUCAUCACCUUUGAACAUGAGAUCUUUAAGAAUCUGGGGAAGUUCUGGUGGUGGUGCCAAAUCGAUCUUUCCAUGCAUACAACAAAGUGAGAACUUUGGUACAUGGAAAUCCAUUGCCAUUGCUCUUGCCGUUCUGUGUCGUCUCGUCAACGUUCGGUGUCGUCUCGUCCAAGUUUUGGUCCAAGUUAGUACUUGGAGCUGAAGCUGAAAAUAAGGUUGAUGUCAAGAGUAGAGAAUCAAUAAAUAUGGAAAUUUGACAGAAGUUAAAAACCUAUGAAGGAGGUAAUGGUGGAGAAACACUUGACAGGAUCCGGUGGUAGAAGAUGAUAACUGUCGAUUGUAAAAGUUAAUGGUGGGAACAAUACAAAAUAGAUAUUGAGAUCGUGGGGUCUGAGAUGUAUAUAAUGGUUGUUUUAAAAGCUGAAAGAUAAAAAAUUGGGACUUAAGCCAGGUGUCAUAUGGAGGAUGUUGCAGUUACUUGAAAAUUUACUUGUGAUUUAUUAGAUA
Long non-coding RNA from Arabidopsis lyrata subsp. lyrata, 581 nucleotides. RefSeq lists it as uncharacterized. The transcript is spliced from 3 exons. Lineage: Eukaryota; Viridiplantae; Streptophyta; Magnoliopsida; Brassicales; Brassicaceae. The record is from RefSeq and is a predicted model, not a curated record.